This 253-nucleotide ribosomal RNA is filed under the name uncultured bacterium. RNAcentral describes it as "partial 16S ribosomal RNA". It matches the Rfam family "Bacterial small subunit ribosomal RNA", at positions 524 to 776 of the family's 1533-position model. The record is from RNAcentral.
UACGUAGGUGGCAAGCGUUGUCCGGAUUUAUUGGGUUUAAAGGGUGCGUAGGCGGCCUUGUAAGUCAGUGGUGAAAUAUCUCAGCUUAACUGAGAGGGUGCCAAUGAUACUGCAGGGCUUGAGUACAGAUGAGGUAGGCGGAAUUGACGGUGUAGCGGUGAAAUGCUUAGAUAUCGUCAAGAACACCUAUAGCGAAGGCAGCUUACUAAGAUGUAACUGACGCUGAGGCACGAAAGUGUGGGGAUCAAACAGG